GUCCUAGCCCUAAACGGUGCACGUUUGCUGUAAGAGGAAUCGACCCCUUUUGUGGCGAAGCUAACGCGUUAAACGUGCCGCCUGGGAAGUACGGCCGCAAGGUUAAACUCAAAGAAAUUGACGGGGGCCUGCACAAGCGGUGGAGUAUGUGGCUUAAUUCGAUGCAACGCGAAGAACCUUACCUGGCCUUGACAUGCAAGUAGUAGAACCGUGAAAGCGGGACGAGGUAGCAAUACCAGCUUGCACAGGUGCUGCAUGGCUGUCGU
This 266-nucleotide ribosomal RNA is filed under the name uncultured bacterium. Its description in RNAcentral is "partial 16S ribosomal RNA". It matches the Rfam family "Bacterial small subunit ribosomal RNA", at positions 793 to 1055 of the family's 1533-position model. The record is from RNAcentral.